This 405-nucleotide ribosomal RNA is filed under the name uncultured bacterium. RNAcentral describes it as "bacterial SSU rRNA". It matches the Rfam family "Bacterial small subunit ribosomal RNA", at positions 355 to 775 of the family's 1533-position model. The record is from RNAcentral.
CUAGGAAUUUCGCGCAAUGGGCGAAAGCCUGACGCAGCAACGCCGCGUGGGGGAAGAAGGCCCUCGGGUCGUAAACCCCUUUUCUGAGGGAAGAAGUUCUGACGGUACCUCAGGAAUAAGCCACGGCUAACUACGUGCCAGCAGCCGCGGUAAUACGUAGGUGGCAAGCGUUGUCCGGAUUUAUUGGGCGUAAAGCGCACGCAGGCGGUUCGUUAAGUCUGGGGUGAAAUCUCUCGGCUCAACUGGGAGAGGUCUCUGGAUACUGGCGAACUUGAGUGCAUCAGAGGAGAGUGGAAUUCCCGGUGUAGUGGUGAAAUGCGUAGAUAUCGGGAGGAACACCAGUGGCGAAGGCGGCUCUCUGGGGUGUUACUGACGCUGAGGUGCGAAAGCGUGGGGAGCGAACCG